Molecule: ribosomal RNA, 1046 nt
Filed under: uncultured Aggregatibacter sp.
Lineage: Bacteria; Pseudomonadati; Pseudomonadota; Gammaproteobacteria; Pasteurellales; Pasteurellaceae
Description: bacterial SSU rRNA
Rfam family: Bacterial small subunit ribosomal RNA
Source: RNAcentral
GAUUGAACGCUGGCGGCAGGCUUAACACAUGCAAGUCGAACGGUAACAGGAGAAAGCUUGCUUUCUUGCUGACGAGUGGCGGACGGGUGAGUAAUGCUUGGGAAUCUGGCUUAUGGAGGGGGAUAACGACGGGAAACUGUCGCUAAUACCGCGUAGAGUCGGGAGACGAAAGUGCGGGACCGCAAGGCCGCAUGCCAUGAGAUGAGCCCAAGUGGGAUUAGGUAGUUGGUGGGGUAAAGGCCUACCAAGCCUACGAUCUCUAGCUGGUCUGAGAGGAUGACCAGCCACACCGGGACUGAGACACGGCCCGGACUCCUACGGGAGGCAGCAGUGGGGAAUAUUGCGCAAUGGGGGCAACCCUGACGCAGCCAUGCCGCGUGAAUGAAGAAGGCCUUCGGGUUGUAAAGUUCUUUCGGUGACGAGGAAGGCGUGAUGUUUAAUAGGCAUCACGAUUGACGUUAAUCACAGAAGAAGCACCGGCUAACUCCGUGCCAGCAGCCGCGGUAAUACGGAGGGUGCGAGCGUUAAUCGGAAUAACUGGGCGUAAAGGGCACGCAGGCGGCUAUUUAAGUGAGGUGUGAAAUCCCCGGGCUUAACCUGGGAAUUGCAUUUCAGACUGGGUAGCUAGAGUACUUUAGGGAGGGGUAGAAUUCCACGUGUAGCGGUGAAAUGCGUAGAGAUGUGGAGGAAUACCGAAGGCGAAGGCAGCCCCUUGGGAAUGUACUGACGCUCAUGUGCGAAAGCGUGGGGAGCAAACAGGAUUAGAUACCCUGGUAGUCCACGCUGUAAACGCUGUCGAUUUGGGGAUUGGGCUUUAAGCUUGGUGCCCGUAGCUAACGUGAUAAAUCGACCGCCUGGGGAGUACGGCCGCAAGGUUAAAACUCAAAUGAAUUGACGGGGCCCGCACAAGCGGUGGAGCAUGUGUUUAAUUCGAUGCAACGCGAAGAACCUUACCUACUCUGACAUCAUGGAAUCCUGUAGAAGAUACGGGAGUGCUUCGGGAACAUGAAGACAGGUGCUGCAUGGCUGUCGUCAGCCUCGUGUUG